This 859-nucleotide ribosomal RNA is filed under the name Cladosporium halotolerans. Its description in RNAcentral is "LSU rRNA". It matches the Rfam family "Eukaryotic large subunit ribosomal RNA", at positions 36 to 922 of the family's 3401-position model. Lineage: Eukaryota; Fungi; Ascomycota; Dothideomycetes; Cladosporiales; Cladosporiaceae. The record is from RNAcentral.
AAGCAUAUCAAUAAGCGGAGGAAAAGAAACCAACAGGGAUUGCUCUAGUACGGCGAGUGAAGCAGCAAUAGCUCAAAUUUGAAAUCUGGCGCCUUCGGCGUCCGAGUUGUAAUUUGUAGAGGAUGCUUCUGGGCAGCCACCGACCUAAGUUCCUUGGAACAGGACGUCAUAGAGGGUGAGAAUCCCGUAUGCGGUCGGAAAGGCACCCUACACGUAGCUCCUUCGACGAGUCGAGUUGUUUGGGAAUGCAGCUCUAAAUGGGAGGUAAAUUUCUUCUAAAGCUAAAUAUUGGCCAGAGACCGAUAGCGCACAAGUAGAGUGAUCGAAAGAUGAAAAGCACUUUGGAAAGAGAGUUAAAAAGCACGUGAAAUUGUUGAAAGGGAAGGGAUUGCAACCAGACUUGCUCGCGGUGUUCCGCCGGUCUUCUGACCGGUCUACUCGCCGCGUUGCAGGCCAGCAUCGUCUGGUGCCGCUGGAUAAGACUUGAGGAAUGUAGCUCCCUCGGGAGUGUUAUAGCCUCUUGUGAUGCAGCGAGCGCCGGGCGAGGUCCGCGCUUCGGCUAGGAUGCUGGCGUAAUGGUUGUAAUCCGCCCGUCUUGAAACACGGACCAAGGAGUCUAACAUCUAUGCGAGUGUUCGGGUGUCAAACCCCUACGCGUAAUGAAAGUGAACGGAGGUGAGAACCGCAAGGUGCAUCAUCGACCGAUCCUGAUGUCUUCGGAUGGAUUUGAGUAUGAGCAUAGCUGUUGGGACCCGAAAGAUGGUGAACUAUGCCUGAAUAGGGUGAAGCCAGAGGAAACUCUGGUGGAGGCUCGCAGCGGUUCUGACGUGCAAAUCGAUCGUCAAAUUUGGGUAUAGGG